UAUGUCGCUGGACCAUGACCCAAGCCAAAAACCAAUAAAACCCACCUUCCCUUAUUUUCUAAGAAAGAAAGAAAAAAAGAAGAGAGAGAAAAAGAUAACUCUCUCUUAGGUCUCUCUCUCUAGGAGCACGUAGAGAUCUCGAUUCGAGCUUUUGUCUUCCCAUCUGAUUGGGCUCAAUUAGGACUUUCGUUGAGAGAGAUGAGGAUUCUUUCUCUUGAUUUCUCUCUCUUCACCCAAUUUUUCUCUCUAAGAAGACCUAUAGAUCUUGAUCGGGCUAUCCUUUUCACUUCUAGCGAUCUAUGUUGAUUCUAGCAAGAUGAUCUCAAAUCACUUUUUAUUCAAUUUUGUUGAAUUUAUCGAAUAAAAAUUGAUUAUAAUUUAAUAUUUUAAAUAAAAUUACUUAAUUUAUCUAAUAAAAUCUAAAGAUCUAGGAUGAAUAAGAUAAGUGGAUCUCAUGCUCCUUAUUUGCUUACAAAUUUUCAUAUUUUUCAUACACAUGACCUCUUGUUGAUGAAAUCAUAUAUUUCAUAAAAUAAAAAUUAGCAUA
RNAcentral lists this long non-coding RNA (547 nucleotides) under Elaeis guineensis (African oil palm). RNAcentral describes it as "long non-coding RNA (EGUI_LNC082166)". Lineage: Eukaryota; Viridiplantae; Streptophyta; Magnoliopsida; Arecales; Arecaceae. The record is from RNAcentral.